CUGACAGAUACAGGAAAUGUUGUGCAGCACAAGAAUAUCUUGCCAAUCCCUCUGUAAUAGGAGACUCUGACAGCUACAGACCACUUCACCAGGAGUGGACAGGAGCUCUGGAGACGGAUCCCCAGUGAACGCAAACCCCAGCUCCAGGGGACCAGGCAGCCCCAGUGCUUAGGAUCAGCAAACUUUCUGUUGCUGCCACUACCCAGGAAAACUAUGGACUUUGGAG
Molecule: long non-coding RNA, 226 nt
Organism: Epinephelus fuscoguttatus (brown-marbled grouper)
Lineage: Eukaryota; Metazoa; Chordata; Actinopteri; Perciformes; Serranidae
Exons: 3
Source: RefSeq, a predicted model, not a curated record